RNAcentral lists this ribosomal RNA (407 nucleotides) under uncultured bacterium. Its description in RNAcentral is "bacterial SSU rRNA". It matches the Rfam family "Bacterial small subunit ribosomal RNA", at positions 356 to 773 of the family's 1533-position model. The record is from RNAcentral.
GGGGAAUAUUGCACAAUGGGCGAAAGCCUGAUGCAGCGACGCCGCGUGAGGGAUGACGGCCUUCGGGUUGUAAACCUCUUUCAGUAGGGAAGAAGCCUUCGGGUGACGGUACCUGCAGAAGAAGCGCCGGCUAACUACGUGCCAGCAGCCGCGGUAAUACGUAGGGCGCAAGCGUUGUCCGGAAUUAUUGGGCGUAAAGAGCUCGUAGGCGGUUUGUCGCGUCUGCCGUGAAAUCCUCCGGCUUAACUGGAGGCCUGCGGUGGGUACGGACAGACUAGAGUGUGGUAGGGGAGACUGGAAUUCCUGGUGUAGCGGUGGAAUGCGCAGAUAUCAGGAGGAACACCGGUGGCGAAGGCGGGUCUCUGGGCCACUACUGACGCUGAGGAGCGAAAGCAUGGGGAGCGAAC